AAUCAACGCUGGCGGCGUGCCUCAGACAUGCAAGUCGAACGAUUAAAGCUCUCUUCGGAGAGUGCAUAGAGUGGCGCACGGGUGAGUAACACGUAAGUAAUCUACCCUCGAGUGGGGAAUAACGUCCGGAAACGGACGCUAAUACCGCAUAAUGCAGCGGCACCGCAAGGUGACAGUUGUUAAAGAUUUAUCGCUUGAGGAGGAGCUUGCGGCAGAUUAGCUAGUUGGUAAGGUAAUGGCUUACCAAGGCUACGAUCUGUAACCGGUCCUAAGAGGACGGUCGGUCACACUGACACCGAAUAACGGGUCAGACUCCUACGGGAGGCAGCAGUCGGGAAUUUUGGACAAUGGGCGCAAGCCUGAUCCAGCCAUGCCGCGUGCGGGAAGAAGGCCUCGGUUGUAAC
This 404-nucleotide ribosomal RNA is filed under the name uncultured bacterium. Its description in RNAcentral is "bacterial SSU rRNA". It matches the Rfam family "Bacterial small subunit ribosomal RNA", at positions 32 to 429 of the family's 1533-position model. The record is from RNAcentral.